Molecule: long non-coding RNA, 542 nt
Organism: Solea senegalensis (Senegalese sole)
Lineage: Eukaryota; Metazoa; Chordata; Actinopteri; Pleuronectiformes; Soleidae
Exons: 3
Source: RefSeq, a predicted model, not a curated record
AACGAUAUAAAUUGCGCCUCAGCCUCAUUAGCUGUCUCUCUCUUCCUUGUUGUGGUGAUGUUGGGUCGUUCGUGUCUCCGGUGGCAGAAUCACGAACAUCAAGAAACUACCGACAUCAUCAUUAUUAUCAGUGUUUGGUCUGGAGGCAUCAUAAGUUGAGGUAAUGGGAACGUUGACAUAAACUGACGACUGCUGCUUUGCCGUUUGCCAAUUUCUUCCUGUAAACAUGUUUCAUGUGUAUGAUUAUAUUUAACAUAUAAAUUGUAAUAAUACUUGGGCAAUCCCAUAAAAUAGUGUGGGGGGGUAAGGACGUGUUCAGAUAGUUGGUUCAAACACAUUAAUCUAACUGGAAAAAUAGGUCCAGAUUGAUCUAAAAAAAAAUUUAAAUUGCACUUCAAUCUGUGAAUGUAAUAUUCAAACUGGAAUCUAAAUAUUGUAUCACUGAAUUAAUUUGCAGCUCAAUGUAAAGUUAACGUCAGGUUGGUUUUGAUGUGUCAUGCUGCAUAGUUGGUCCACCCAAUAAAGAAAACAAAAGUAUUAAA